CCCUCCUCCCGUCGCGCCGCGCCGCACGCCGCCUCCUGCUCCUCCCACGCCGCGCCGCGCCGCGCCGCACGCCGCCUCCUGCUCCUCCCGCGCCGCUGCCCCGCCGGCGCCCAGUCCUCCCGCAGCCCGGGUCGCUCUUAUCCCUCAAGCAGCGCCGACGGCGCGGGACCCAGUGGGCUGGGCCUGCGUCGGCAGUGCCGGUGUCCAUCUCCUCCGUCGAGCGGCGGCGGCGCAGCGGGACGCAGUGGGCCUGACUUGCAUCGGCAGCAAAGGGGUCUCUCCUCCGUCAAGCAGCGGCGGCAGCGCGGGACCCAGCGGGCUCGGCCUGCGUUGGCGGCGGCGGGGUCCAUCUCCACCGUCGAGCAGCGGCGGCAAGGUCCAUCUCCUCCCUCAAGCUGCGGCGGGCUUGAGACACAGCGGGCUCGGCCACGAAGAUGGAUUUCUCCGACGGGGCAUUCGAUUCCUGGCCUCUGUUCCUCGACCUCGCGUCAGGCACAUAUGCCCCAGCGGUCGUUCCUCCUCGUGGUCAGUGACGCAGAUGCCGCCGCUGUCAUUCCUUGCACAACCAAGGAUGCGGAACUCCUCUACGGUGAGAUGCAUUGUGUAGCCUCUGCCCUCCAGCACCAUGGCAGCAUGCCGAUGCCCACCAAAUGUUCGAUGAGUUCCCCUAAUUGACCUCUCUAUAUAGCUAGCCCUCUCUAUUUCAGUCUCUCACAGCUCUCCGUGUCAUCCAUAUAUGAUCUUAUUUUGUUUCAGUUUUUUGCUAGAUUUAACACUGACAUUUGUUUAAAUCCUAUCCAUGUUGAAUAUUUGAAAGGGAGCACACAAAGCUGCAGAGGCAACAACUCCAAAGGAAUCAGCACGGUGAUGCGUUUCUAUAUGUUCAGUGUGACUAGAAACCAACAUGCUGACUACUAAACCAUAUGCACAGGAUCGUAGAAAAUUAUUAUUCUAUAUGCACAUGAUCGUAGAACAUUAUUAUUAAUGUCUACAUUGGAAAGGAUCCAAACUCUAAACAAGUGAUUCGUGAACAAUUUUUUAUCUAGGUUCAGAAGUUGAUAAUCCAUUACAGUUCUUUCAUUGUGCAAGCAACCUCAGGUACGACGAAACGGCUUUGAUUUGCUUCUGUCGUCACAUUGCUGAAUACGACUUUGAAUCUCAACUGCACUUGACUGCACCUUCUAUCUUGAUCUGCUUGACAACUUAUAAUUUGCACAAACAUUCCCCUACAUAGUUUGUCCUUGGUCUGAAAGAACAAUUCCUGAUGAUAUAUUCCAAAUCAGGUUGUUGCCUGGAUCCUAUGAACAACAUGUACAGUCAUGCUGUCGUUAUCCGUUUACCAUCAAUUGACGAUUUCAAAUUAUUCAAGAAUGCACGACGCACAAGGCUGUAAGGUUUCCGCACUUGCAUCCGUAGAAAUCUGGGUGUUGGUAAAUUCUGUUUUGGAUGGAUUUUGAAGGGAACUUUGUUUUUAUCGAGGAUCAGACAAUACUAAGAGACUAACAAGAAUACAGUAAAUUACUGGAUCAUUCAUAGUUCCCUGGCGUAGAAUAGAACCCAUUGUGGUAACUAUCUUGGGGCUCUAGAAAUAAUUCCUCUGAAACUGAAUCAUUCAGUCAUACCUUCACUUUAGUAAAUAAUGGCUCUGGAUACUGGGAUCUCUCAUCUUGGUUAUUUUUUAUAUACUGCAUUGCAAAACCAGAAGCUCAAGCUAGGUUAGGCUAAGGCUAGGCUCACAAAAUAAUGAUGAUGAUUACUUAGCUAAAAUUGUUCUGGAACUUUAUCCGUGAUCUAACAUUUUUUUCCCGAGGCUGAAUUAAUGGGUAUGGAAUUCUAUUUGGUCGAGUUGCUUAUCUGAAUGCAACCUUUGAAUAGUUAAUGAAAUUGCUGGGAUUUGGUGUUGCCCGAUUGUUCAUGUGAACGUGGCAGAAGCCUUCAUUUGUGGCCUAACAUUUUUUUACCAGUUAUUAUCUUCUUAUGUAACAGUUGUAAAUUUGCAGUCUAGAUUAGCACAUAUAGUGACCACUCAUGCUUGUCAUCACUGUACCUAAAUGAUGUCUUCCUUGCGUACUUGUCAUCACUACACCUUCAAUCGACACUGUUAUUUAUGCUGAAUGUCAAGACCUUCAGUAUUGUACACCAUUUUUACGAAUGCUUAGCCUAAACGUCAUGGUUGUUUAUGUCAUCUUGCUUUAUAAGUCAGAAUGAUGGGCCAAGAGCUUCCGUUUCUUUUGGGUUGGGUUUUAUUUACUACGAAUAUAUCUAGCGAUAGAAAGAGCACAUGAGUUAUUCCUACAAUAUUUUUAGUGUUCAGAUAGAGUUAAGAAAAUUAUGAUGUUACCAAAUCUAUUUAGUUCAUGAUUUUUGGUAAUUAAUAUUCUAGCCUGGUGAUGGAUUAGGUUGAUGGGUCAACAUCUUCUGUCAUCUUCAGUUUGCAAGUUGAACUAUUAAUGCUUAGUUUUGUUGUAGAGGGGCUUACUUCAGUUUGCAGAACUACCAUGAUAAACAGACAAACUGUUUAUUGAUAGAGGGGAUUUGUUUUUAUGCAUUCAUAGUUAUUCCUGUUAUAGGCUGGUCCUCUUUUGAGGCUACUGAUUGCAUUAGGAAGAGGAUGUUUUCUUUCGAAAAGGUUAGAAAGAGGAUGUUGAACUAAACUUCCCUUAGUUCAUUUCUUAUAUUUUUCUCAUGUUUCCUCGCAAUGGAAGGAGCACGAUAGCUUGCAGAUGGUGCUAUGGUGCAAACAUGUAGUGGACUUGGAGGCCAGGAUUUUAGCUACAGGAAAAGAAUGAGGCUACAACUGGUGGACAAGUGACAUGACCACGAUAAGAAAAAUGCUACAGGUGCACAUGAGCAGUCUUGGUGAGAUUAGUGGCUGAAGCUGGCUGGCAAAUAUCUGAAGGAAUCCAAUAGACUUUUUUUUGCGGGAAGGAAUCCAAUAUACUUCCUGUGUAGUGAAAAUGACCAAUAUGGACAUGAAAAAAGAUGGAUCACCCUGAGGUUUGCAAUGUAAAUCUUAUGGAAGGUGACACUAUUUGAUCAAGAGAUGAACACUUGGCAACUUUGGAUUGUUCCCAUUAUUGGAGUUUGAUGUUUGCAUUUUGACACGGAGCUAUGUUGUUUCACCACAUGCAACAAUUUAAAUUUUGGUGUUCAAAAUAGUUUGACUAAAUAUAUAUGGAGUAUUAGUUAGUACGUGCAUUGCACGUGUAAGUUUACUAGUAGUGAAGAAAAUACCAAUGUGACCAUACUAUUCAUUAAACAAUGUUUUUUAAUAUUAGCUUCAAUUUGUUAUUUUUGCCA
Long non-coding RNA from Triticum aestivum (bread wheat), 3300 nucleotides. RefSeq lists it as uncharacterized. The transcript has 5 exons. The record is from RefSeq and is a predicted model, not a curated record. Lineage: Eukaryota; Viridiplantae; Streptophyta; Magnoliopsida; Poales; Poaceae.